CAGUAGCCGCGGUAAUACGGAGGGAGCUAGCGUUGUUCGGAAUUACUGGGCGUAAAGCGCGCGUAGGCGGUUACUCAAGUCAGAGGUGAAAGCCCGGGGCUCAACCCCGGAACUGCCUUUGAAACUAGGUGACUAGAAUCUUGGAGAGGUCAGUGGAAUUCCGAGUGUAGAGGUGAAAUUCGUAGAUAUUCGGAAGAACACCAGUGGCGAAGGCGACUGACUGGACAAGUAUUGACGCUGAGGUGCGAAAGCGUGGGGAGCAAACAGGAUUAGAGACCCCUGUAGUCCCUGUCUCUUAUAA
RNAcentral lists this ribosomal RNA (301 nucleotides) under uncultured bacterium. RNAcentral describes it as "partial 16S ribosomal RNA". It matches the Rfam family "Bacterial small subunit ribosomal RNA", at positions 509 to 809 of the family's 1533-position model. The record is from RNAcentral.